CUGUUAUUCUUUCUACCUGAUUCGAGGAUUUUAAAAGAUAAGAAAAAAUAAGUUAAAAAUAUGUUUUCUGUCUUGUACUCAUUAAUUCUUCCAAUUUCCCUUCUCCAAAUCUCGUCUGGCGAUUUUUGUCCUCCAUAUUUUUGCUUAAUUCCCUUCAUUAUAUCUCAUCUUUGCCGAUUUCUCUUCUAAUAUCUCACUCUACCGAGUUUUCUCCUUUUCAAUCUUUCAAUUUUGUGAUUAACACCAUUAACAGAAAAGGAAAAGGGAAAAGGAAAAGGCUUGCGCUUGUAGAUGAAGAAUCGGAGGAGGAAGAAUUUGAGGAUAGUGUAAGUGGAGAUCAAGAGGAUGAAGAUGAAAUGGAUGCCGAUGAUAGUGAUGAUGAUGAGCUAGAAGACUAUGUUGAGCUUGAUGAUUGAUGUCUAUUGAGCUUAUCAUGGUUUUAUGUUUUGUUGAACACUUGAACUAAAGACUUUAAUUGCUAGACUUUUAUAUAAUUGUUUACUAUUUUAUGCUUUA
This is a long non-coding RNA of Salvia splendens (bonfire salvia), 516 nucleotides long. RefSeq lists it as uncharacterized. The record is from RefSeq and is a predicted model, not a curated record. NCBI's taxonomy places the organism in Eukaryota, Viridiplantae, Streptophyta, Magnoliopsida, Lamiales, Lamiaceae. The transcript is spliced from 2 exons.